Molecule: ribosomal RNA, 301 nt
Filed under: uncultured bacterium
Lineage: Bacteria
Description: partial 16S ribosomal RNA
Rfam family: Bacterial small subunit ribosomal RNA
Source: RNAcentral
CAGCCGCCGCGGUAAUACGAAGGGGGCUAGCGUUGCUCGGAUUUACUGGGCGUAAAGGGCGCGUAGGCGGACAGUUUAGUCGGGGGUGAAAGCCCGAGGCUCAACCUCGGAAUUGCCUUCGAUACUGGCUGUCUUGAGUACGGGAGAGGUGAGUGGAACUCCGAGUGUAGAGGUGAAAUUCGUAGAUAUUCGGAAGAACACCAGUGGCGAAGGCGACUCACUGGCCCGUUACUGACGCUGAGGCGCGAAAGCGUGGGGAGCAAACAGGAUUAGAUACCCCCGUAGUCCCUGUCUCUUAUAC